RNAcentral lists this ribosomal RNA (507 nucleotides) under uncultured bacterium. Its description in RNAcentral is "partial 16S ribosomal RNA". It matches the Rfam family "Bacterial small subunit ribosomal RNA", at positions 28 to 507 of the family's 1533-position model. The record is from RNAcentral.
GACGAACGCUGGCGGCGUGCCUAAUACAUGCAAGUCGAACGCAUUUUCUUUCACCGUAGCUUGCUACACCGACAGAAAAUGAGUGGCGAACGGGUGAGUAACACGUGGGUAACCUGCCCAUCAGCGGGGGAUAACACUUGGAAACAGGUGCUAAUACCGCAUAAUUCCAUUUACUGCAUGGUAGAUGGAUGAAAGGCGCUUUUGCGUCACUGAUGGAUGGACCCGCGGUGCAUUAGCUAGUUGGUGGGGUAACGGCCUACCAAGGCUGCGAUGCAUAGCCGACCUGAGAGGGUGAUCGGCCACACUGGGACUGAGACACGGCCCAGACUCCUACGGGAGGCAGCAGUAGGGAAUCUUCGGCAAUGGACGCAAGUCUGACCGAGCAACGCCGCGUGAGUGAAGAAGGUUUUCGGAUCGUAAAACUCUGUUGUUAGAAAAGAACAGGGAUGAGAGUGGAAAGUUCAUCCCUUGACGGUAUCUAACCAGAAAGCCACGGCUAACUACGUG